RNAcentral lists this ribosomal RNA (245 nucleotides) under uncultured bacterium. RNAcentral describes it as "partial 16S ribosomal RNA". It matches the Rfam family "Bacterial small subunit ribosomal RNA", at positions 524 to 768 of the family's 1533-position model. The record is from RNAcentral.
UACGGAGGUGGCAAGCGUUACUCGGAAUUAUUGGGUGUAAAGGGCAAGUAGGCGGUCUAAUAAGUGGGGGGUGAAAUACUCCGGCUCAAUCGGAGAACAGCCUUCCAAACUGCUAGACUUGAGUAUGACAGAGGAAAAUGGAAUUCUAGGUGUAAGGGUGAAAUCUGUAGAUAUCUAGAAGAACACCAGCUGCGAAGGCGAUUUUCUGGGUCAUUACUGACGCUAAAUUGCGAAAGCUAGGGGAG